UUGCAAAUUUUUAACUCUUUUUGAACGUGUUUUACGGCAUCAUAAUUAUAGAAUGAGCUUCCUGAUCAAAUUUUGUAUGCCAUGCAUCAUUAUGAGCGUUAUUCUCCAGAAUGUGUUUGCUCAAAACGCAGACCCAGAGCAAAUAAUCAUUGCGCGUCAACCCCCACCUGAGACAGAUAACGACCCACCCGUGACUGCUGACCGAAGAUUUGUGAUCGAGGACAUAACACCUCCGUCUGGCCCCAUGGCAGAUUUCCACGCUUCCGGCACACGCCGUGGAAAAGUUUUGGAAACAUUGUAAAUAAGGC
Molecule: long non-coding RNA, 308 nt
Organism: Paramacrobiotus metropolitanus
Lineage: Eukaryota; Metazoa; Tardigrada; Eutardigrada; Parachela; Macrobiotidae
Exons: 3
Source: RefSeq, a predicted model, not a curated record